RNAcentral lists this ribosomal RNA (460 nucleotides) under uncultured bacterium. RNAcentral's name for it is "partial 16S ribosomal RNA". It matches the Rfam family "Bacterial small subunit ribosomal RNA", at positions 338 to 795 of the family's 1533-position model. The record is from RNAcentral.
CCUACGGGUGGCAGCAGUGAGGAAUAUUGGUCAAUGGACGCGAGUCUGAACCAGCCAAGUAGCGUGAAGGAUGACUGCCCUAUGGGUUGUAAACUUCUUUUAUAUGGGAAUAAAAUGUUCCACGUGUGGCAUUUUGUAUGUACUUUAUGAAUAAGGAUCGGCUAACUCCGUGCCAGCAGCCGCGGUAAUACGGAGGAUCCGAGCGUUAUCCGGAUUUAUUGGGUUUAAAGGGAGCGUAGGUGGAUUGUUAAGUCAGUUGUGAAAGUUUGCGGCUCAACCGUAAAAUUGCAAUUGAUACUGGCAGUCUUGAGUACAGUAGAGGUGGGCGGAAUUCGUGGUGUAGCGGUGAAAUGCUUAGAUAUCACGAAGAACUCCGAUUGCGAAGGCAGCUCACUAAACUGCCACUGACAUUGAUGCUCGAAAGUGUGGGUAUCAAACAGGAUUAGAUACCCGUGUAGUC